Molecule: small nuclear RNA, 202 nt
Filed under: Myotis brandtii (Brandt's bat)
Lineage: Eukaryota; Metazoa; Chordata; Mammalia; Chiroptera; Vespertilionidae
Description: 7SK RNA
Rfam family: 7SK RNA
About the family: 7SK was discovered as an abundant small nuclear RNA in the mid-70s but a possible function has only recently been suggested. Two independent studies have found that 7SK RNA binds the CDK9/cyclin T complex (known as elongation factor P-TEFb).
Source: Rfam by way of RNAcentral
CCUCACCCAUCCAUGUGCCUCCCUCCCUAAGCUGCGCUCUGGGUCGUAGAGGACGACCACCCCCCCCUCCCCCGAGGAGAGGACAGGGCUUCAGUCAAGGUUAUACGAGUAACUGCGCUCCCCUGCUAGGACCUCCAAACAAGCUCUCAAGAAGUGUUUCCAACAGAUUUUGCAAGGAUAGACGAGAAAAAUGAUUAGAAAA